Molecule: non-coding RNA, 82 nt
Organism: Mycena rosella
Lineage: Eukaryota; Fungi; Basidiomycota; Agaricomycetes; Agaricales; Mycenaceae
Source: the annotation of a GenBank genome assembly
AGCAGUGUGGUGUAUUGCGCACACGGGGUUUUGGAGAACAAAAUUACACCCCGAGGUCCUUGUUCGAAUCAAGGUACUGCUU